Non-coding RNA from Phrynosoma platyrhinos (Desert horned lizard), 73 nucleotides. The record is from the annotation of a GenBank genome assembly. NCBI's taxonomy places the organism in Eukaryota, Metazoa, Chordata, Lepidosauria, Squamata, Phrynosomatidae.
GAAUGGAUGGCAUAGUUGUUUUGAGUGUUGGACUACAACUAUGGAGGCCAGGGUUUGAUUCCCAGUUCAACCA